RNAcentral lists this transfer RNA (61 nucleotides) under Yoonia sediminilitoris. It matches the Rfam family "tRNA", at positions 13 to 71 of the family's 71-position model. From Rfam's summary of the family: Transfer RNA (tRNA) molecules are approximately 80 nucleotides in length. Their secondary structure includes four short double-helical elements and three loops (D, anti-codon, and T loops). Further hydrogen bonds mediate the characteristic L-shaped molecular structure. tRNAs have two regions of fundamental functional importance: the anti-codon, which is responsible for specific mRNA codon recognition, and the 3' end, to which the tRNAs corresponding amino acid is attached (by aminoacyl-tRNA synthetases). tRNAs cope with the degeneracy of the genetic code in two manners: having more than one tRNA (with a specific anti-codon) for a particular amino acid; and 'wobble' base-pairing, i.e. permitting non-standard base-pairing at the 3rd anti-codon position. The record is from Rfam by way of RNAcentral. Lineage: Bacteria; Pseudomonadati; Pseudomonadota; Alphaproteobacteria; Rhodobacterales; Paracoccaceae.
GACAAUGUUAAAUAGCCCCCUCCUAAGGGGCAGGUUGCAGGUUCGAAUCCUGCCGGGGUCA